This 846-nucleotide ribosomal RNA is filed under the name uncultured Flavobacteriaceae bacterium. RNAcentral's name for it is "bacterial SSU rRNA". It matches the Rfam family "Bacterial small subunit ribosomal RNA", at positions 20 to 862 of the family's 1533-position model. The record is from RNAcentral. Lineage: Bacteria; Pseudomonadati; Bacteroidota; Flavobacteriia; Flavobacteriales; Flavobacteriaceae.
UGGCUCAGGAUGAACGCUAGCGGCAGGCUUAACACAUGCAAGUCGAGGGGUAACAGAGGUAGCUUGCUACUUGCUGACGACCGGCGCACGGGUGCGUAACGCGUAUACAAUCUACCUUGUACAGGGGAAUAGCCCAGAGAAAUUUGGAUUAAUGCCCCAUAGUAUUAUUGAAUGGCAUCAUUUAAUAAUUAAAACUCCGGUGGUACAAGAUGAGUAUGCGUUCUAUUAGCUAGAUGGUAAGGUAACGGCUUACCAUGGCUACGAUAGAUAGGGGUCCUGAGAGGGAGAUCCCCCACACUGGUACUGAGACACGGACCAGACUCCUACGGGAGGCAGCAGUGAGGAAUAUUGGACAAUGGUCGCAAGACUGAUCCAGCCAUGCCGCGUGCAGGAAGACUGCCCUAUGGGUUGUAAACUGCUUUUAUAUGGGAAGAAUAAGAUCUACGUGUAGAUCGAUGACGGUACCAUAAGAAUAAGCACCGGCUAACUCCGUGCCAGCAGCCGCGGUAAUACGGAGGGUGCAAGCGUUAUCCGGAAUCAUUGGGUUUAAAGGGUCCGUAGGCGGGCAUAUAAGUCAGUGGUGAAAGUCUGUGGCUCAACCAUAGAACUGCCAUUGAAACUGUAUGUCUUGAAUUAUUGUGAAGUGGUUAGAAUAUGUAGUGUAGCGGUGAAAUGCUUAGAUAUUACAUAGAAUACCGAUUGCGAAGGCAGAUCACUAACAAUAUAUUGACGCUGAUGGACGAAAGCGUAGGUAGCGAACAGGAUUAGAUACCCUGGUAGUCUACGCCGUAAACGAUGGUUACUAGCUGUUUGGACUUCGGUUUGAGUGGCUAAGCGAAAGUGAUA